This 492-nucleotide ribosomal RNA is filed under the name uncultured bacterium. Its description in RNAcentral is "bacterial SSU rRNA". It matches the Rfam family "Bacterial small subunit ribosomal RNA", at positions 30 to 512 of the family's 1533-position model. The record is from RNAcentral.
AGUGAACGCUGGCGGCAGGCCUAACACAUGCAAGUCGAGCGGCAGCACGGCAAUAGCAAUAUUGUGGGUGGCGAGCGGCGGACGGGUGAGGAAUGCAUCGGGAUCUACCCUGUCGUGGGGGACAACGUAGGGAAACUUACGCUAAUACCGCAUGAUCUGGAGACAGCAAAGCCGGGGACCUUCGGGCCUGGCGCGAUGGGAUGAGCCGAUGUCCGAUUAGCUAGUUGGCGGGGUAAAGGCCCACCAAGGCGACGAUCGGUAGCUGGUCUGAGAGGACGACCAGCCACACUGGAACUGAGACACGGUCCAGACUCCUACGGGAGGCAGCAGUGGGGAAUAUUGGACAAUGGGGGCAACCCUGAUCCAGCCAUGCCGCGUGGGUGAAGAAGGCCUCGGUUGUAAGACCUUUGUUGCGGGAAGAAAGUACGUCGGUGUAACAUCCGGCGAUGCUGACGGUACCGCAAGAAUAAGACACGGCUAACUCGUGCCAGC